This 326-nucleotide long non-coding RNA is filed under the name Brassica napus (rape). Its description in RNAcentral is "long non-coding RNA (BNAP_LNC009064)". Lineage: Eukaryota; Viridiplantae; Streptophyta; Magnoliopsida; Brassicales; Brassicaceae. The record is from RNAcentral.
CAAGUCGGAUCGAUUUGGUCGGCUCGGUGGCUAAACCUAUCGGCUUGACCUUAGAGUACUUUUAGCCGGUCGAGUAAGUCGGCUAAAAGUGCCCGGCUUAGAGGGAGCCUCGUUCAGGCCCGUAUACUCGGUCUCUCGCAUCAAGGCCCAAAGGGGCACGAAAUUAGGGCAUCUGGGGCAGGAGUCCUAUAAGAAGGGAAAAGGAAGCAACAAGAAAAGGACUUUUGGACCAUUGAACACACUAAACGGCUAGAUCUAGGGUUUUAGGCUAUCUCUUUGAUCUUGUUACUCUUCGAUCUUGUUGCUCUUGAAUCUUCUUGUCACUC